This is a long non-coding RNA of Coregonus clupeaformis (lake whitefish), 715 nucleotides long. RefSeq lists it as uncharacterized. Lineage: Eukaryota; Metazoa; Chordata; Actinopteri; Salmoniformes; Salmonidae. The transcript has 3 exons. The record is from RefSeq and is a predicted model, not a curated record.
GGAGGAGAGGGUCAGAGACAGAUAGAUAGAUAGAGGGAAGACUGUUACAGGUCACCCUGAGGAGGAGAGGGUCACAGACAGAUAGAUAGAGGGAAGACUGUUACAGGUCACCCUGAGGAGGAGAGGGUCACAGACAGACGGGGAAGACUGUUACAGGUCACCCUGAGGAGGAGAGGGUCACAGACAGAUAGAUAGAGGGAAGAGUGUUACAGGUCACCCUGAGGAGGAGAGGGUCACAGACAGAUAGGUUUUGGGAAGAGUGUUACAGGUCACCCUGUGGAGGAGAGGGUCACAGACAGAUAGAUAGAGGGAAGACUGUUACAGGUCACCCUGAGGAGGAGAGGGUCACAGACAGAUAGAUAGAGGGAAGACUGUUACAGGUCACCCUGAGGAGGAGAGGGUCACAGACGGACAGAUAGAGGGAAGACUGUUACAGGUCACCCUGAGGAGGAGAGGGUCACAGACAGACGGGGAAGACUGUUACAGGUCACCCUGAGGAGGAGAGGGUCACAGACGGACAGGGAAGACUGUUACAGGUCACCCUGAGGAGGAGAGGGUCACAGACAGACGGGGAAGACUGUUACAGGUCACCCUGAGGAGGAGAGGGUCACAGACGGACGGGGAAGACUGUUACAGGUCACCCUGAGGAGGAGAGGAUCACAGACAGACAGAUAGAGGGAAGACUGUUACAGGUCACCCUGAGGAGGAGAGGGUC